Non-coding RNA from Pan troglodytes (chimpanzee), 210 nucleotides. Lineage: Eukaryota; Metazoa; Chordata; Mammalia; Primates; Hominidae. The record is from Rfam.
CUGUCUGACUAGCCAGGUGUCCCCUUCCUCCUGAAGCUGUGAGCUCCGUCAAAAAGGACAACCCACUCUGAUAGAGGAGGAUCGCUCUUCGAUGGAGGGUAUAUGAGUAGCUGCACUCCCCUGUUAGAACCUCCAAACAGGCUCUCAAGGGCUCUGUAAUUUCACGUCUCACCUUGGACUUUCUGAUUACUCCCUACUUUCUUCCACGUG